Molecule: ribosomal RNA, 253 nt
Filed under: uncultured bacterium
Lineage: Bacteria
Description: partial 16S ribosomal RNA
Rfam family: Bacterial small subunit ribosomal RNA
Source: RNAcentral
UACGAAGGGGGCUAGCGUUGCUCGGAAUCACUGGGCGUAAAGCGCACGUAGGCGGACUCUUAAGUCGGGGGUGAAAUCCUGGAGCUCAACUCCAGAACUGCCUUCGAUACUGAAAAGCUUGAGUCCGGGAGAGGUGAGUGGAACUGCGAGUGUAGAGGUGAAAUUCGUAGAUAUUCGCAAGAACACCAGUGGCGAAGGCGGCUCACUGGCCCGGUACUGACGCUGAGGUGCGAAAGCGUGGGGAGCAAACAGG